GGCCAGACUCCUACGGGAGGCAGCAGUGGGGAAUAUUGGGCAAUGGAGGCAACUCUGACCCAGCAACGCCGCGUGAAUGAUGAAGGUCUUCGGAUUGUAAAGUUCUUUUCUAAGGGAAGAAGAAAGUGACGGUACCUUAGGAAUAAGCCUCGGCUAACUACGUGCCAGCAGCCGCGGUAAUACGUAGGGGGCAAGCGUUAUCCGGAUUUACUGGGUGUAAAGGGAGCGUAGACGGCCAGACAAGUCAGAGGUGAAAGCCCAGGGCUCAACCCUGGGACUGCUUUUGAAACUGCCGGGCUGGAGUGCAGGAGAGGUAAGCGGAAUUCCUAGUGUAGCGGUGAAAUGCGUAGAUAUUAGGAGGAACACCAGUGGCGAAGGCGGCUUACUGGACUGUAACUGACGUUGAGGCUCGAAAGCGUGGGGAGCAAACAGGAUUAGAUCCCCUCGUA
RNAcentral lists this ribosomal RNA (449 nucleotides) under uncultured bacterium. Its description in RNAcentral is "bacterial SSU rRNA". It matches the Rfam family "Bacterial small subunit ribosomal RNA", at positions 329 to 792 of the family's 1533-position model. The record is from RNAcentral.